UUUAAAUCCUAUAGUUCUUUCUGUAAGCAUAGGAGCACUAUUUGCAGCAUUCUGGCUAAAAUUCAAUGUGAAUGCUUAUAUUGCGCCAACUCCAAUCCCCUCCCAGUUUCGAACGGAUACGAUAUUUAUCUUCACUUCCCAUCUUUGCAGUUGUGUAUUGUUGCUGUAGGUUGCUACACAACUGCUGCCUCAUCGGUGGCCGUGUUUUGCUGGUGAAUAACGUGCUCCCCGUGCGCAGAUGAACCGUGAAGCUAUUUGGAGUCCUUGAGCGAGAACCCCAAGAUACAUGCCUCGCAGCCCACCUGCAAGCUGCUCUUCUUCAGGCUAGCAUGCAUCCCUGCACUUCUGUUUGGGGCUUUCCCGAAUGGAAACAAAAGAGGCCUCCAUAAAUUCCUUGGACUACACAGAACUCUUUGCAGAGCCCUCAGGCUGGCUAGAAACGCAAGAGACCAGUGGAGAACAGCCCCACGGAGAGCACGUCGUCCCCACGGCGCUGAACCACCCCUUCUGGUGCAGUUCUCGACCAAGGAUACAGUCAAUUCUCCAUCAUCCAUCAUUGUGGAGAGCUGGCAGGAAUACGGAGGAGCUGAAGGGCUGCAGCAGCGCUCGCACUGUGUUUACUGAACUUGCCUAAAACAUGAGGCCAAAGCGUUUACUUAUGGUCUGGCUGGCGGGCAAAGUUGACCACAGCAAAGGCUGCUAGAGACUAGACACACUCAGAAAUGAAACCAGUGCAAAUCCUCCAUGCUCUUCCUCCGUCAGUGUAAAAGGCCACUACAGCACUGCAAAAGUGGCCGUGUCCCUGCAAAAAACACUAUGCAAAAGCACAAAGAUGCAAGCACGAGCAGAGGAAAACUGCACUUGGAGAACUGCUUGCAGGAGGUGUUUUUGCAGGAACUAGUGCCAUCCAGGACAGGCUUGCAGGAACCUGGGCCUGUGCGCGUCUUCCUGCCCUGAAGCAUCGUUGCUUGUUAGCAAAUAUCUGCAAAGCACCAUAUCUAGCCACUGUAUUAAACAGAUGCUGAAAGACUUGGCCUCUUUCCUGAAGACAGAAGACAAAAAUCUACGUAAGGAGAUAAGUGAGCUAGUCAUAAAAGCAACAACAACAUGACUCUUGCUAAUUUAACUAAGCCCCUGUAUUUAUUCACUGAUCCAUAAGGCCUUGAUUAGAGGUUGACUAGGAAGACAUUUGUUUUAGAUUAUGUCCAGGGAAAAUCUCGUGCCUCUGAGAAGGUUCUGCUGUGUAUCAGUCCCAGGUGUUCAAAUAUUGGGAAUCAGAUCCCUUAAUAUUCUUGUGUUUGGCUUAAAAUAAAAAUGAAAAUGAUACCA
This is a long non-coding RNA of Apteryx owenii (little spotted kiwi), 1329 nucleotides long. The record is from Ensembl. NCBI's taxonomy places the organism in Eukaryota, Metazoa, Chordata, Aves, Apterygiformes, Apterygidae.